Molecule: ribosomal RNA, 878 nt
Filed under: uncultured eukaryote
Lineage: Eukaryota
Description: SSU rRNA
Rfam family: Eukaryotic small subunit ribosomal RNA
Source: RNAcentral
CGGUGUUCAACUGGCGUGUCCGCGGGACGUCCUGCCGGUGGGCUUAGCCCGCAAGGGCGGCCCAACUUCAAAUCCCAUCGCGGUGCUCUUCACUGAGUGUCGAGGUGGGCCGGCACGUUUACUUUGAACAAAUUAGAGUGCUUAAAGCAGGCUAAAACUUCGCCUGAAUACUGUGUGCAUGGAAUAAUGGAAUAGGACCUCGGUUCUAUUUUGUUGGUUUUCGGAACCCCGAGGUAAUGAUUAAUAGGAACGGAUGGGGGCAUUCGUAUUGCGACGUUAGAGGUGAAAUUCUUGGAUCGUCGCAAGACGGACAGAAGCGAAAGCAUUUGCCAAAAACGCUUUCAUUGAUCAAGAACGAAAGUUAGAGGUUCGAAGGCGAUCAGAUACCGCCCUAGUUCUAACCAUAAACGAUGCCAGCUAGCGAUCCGUCGACGUUCCUCCGAUGACUCGACGGGCAGCUUCCGGGAAACCAAAGCUUUUGGGUUCCGGGGGAAGUAUGGUUGCAAAGCUGAAACUUAAAGGAAUUGACGGAAGGGCACCACCAGGAGUGGAGCCUGCGGCUUAAUUUGACUCAACACGGGAAACCUCACCAGGCCCGGACACCGGAAGGAUUGACAGAUUGAGAGCUCUUUCUUGAUUCGGUGGGUGGUGGUGCAUGGCCGUUCUUAGUUGGUGGAGCGAUUUGUCUGGUUAAUUCCGAUAACGAACGAGACUCUAGCCUGCUAACUAGGCGUAUUUUCGACAUCUCAAAGGUCCGUCGUCCCGGCCCUCGGGUCGUGGGCGUGCGCGAUUUUUACUGUCGGCGUACUAUCAAUUCUUCUUAGAGGGACAGGUGGCUUCUAGCCGCACGAGCAUUGAGCAAUGACAGGUCUGUGAUG